Non-coding RNA from Xenopus tropicalis (tropical clawed frog), 93 nucleotides. Lineage: Eukaryota; Metazoa; Chordata; Amphibia; Anura; Pipidae. The record is from Rfam.
GCUCCAGUGGCGCAAUCGGUUAACGCGCGGUACUUAUAUGGCAGUAACUGUUGGGCAAUGCCGAGGUUGAGAGUUCAAGCCUCACCUGGAGCA